RNAcentral lists this ribosomal RNA (1217 nucleotides) under Laceyella tengchongensis. Its description in RNAcentral is "23S rRNA. Bacterial LSU". It matches the Rfam family "Bacterial large subunit ribosomal RNA", at positions 1 to 1208 of the family's 2925-position model. The record is from RNAcentral. Lineage: Bacteria; Bacillati; Bacillota; Bacilli; Caryophanales; Thermoactinomycetaceae.
GUAGGUUAAGCUACUAAGGGCACACGGUGGAUGCCUUGGCGCUAGGAGCCGAUGAAGGACGGGACGAACUCCGAUAAGCUUCGGGGAGCUGUAAGUAAGCUUUGAUCCGGAGAUUUCCGAAUGGGGCAACCCACCAGCUUGAAGAGCUGGUACCGCCACCUGAAUCCAUAGGGUGGUCGGGGGCAGACCAGGGGAACUGAAACAUCUAAGUACCCUGAGGAAGAGAAAGCAAACGCGAUUCCCUGAGUAGCGGCGAGCGAAACGGGAACAGCCCAAACCGAUGGCCUUGUGCCAUCGGGGUUGUAGGACGUCUCACACGGAGUCACAAAGGGAGCGAAUAGGUGAACUGGUCCUGGAAAGGCCGGCAAUAUAAGGUAACAGCCCUGUAACCGAAAUUCGUUCCCCUCCGAGACGGAUCCUGAGUACCGCGGGACACGUGAAACCCCGUGGGAAGCUGGGAGGACCACCUCCCAAGGCUAAAUACUCCCUAGCGACCGAUAGUGAACCAGUACCGUGAGGGAAAGGUGAAAAGCACCCCGGGAGGGGAGUGAAAGAGAACCUGAAACCGUGUGCUUACAACCAGUCGGAGUCCCCUUGAGGGAUGACGGCGUGCCUUUUGUAGAAUGAACCGGCGAGUAACGGUUGCGUGCAAGGUUAAGGUGAGAAGCUGGAGCCGUAGCGAAAGCGAGUCUGAAUAGGGCGCUUCAGUACGUAGUCGUUGACCCGAAACCGGGUGAUCUACCCAUGUCCAGGAUGAAGUUCCGGUAACACGGAAUGGAGGUCCGAACCUGUUGGUGUUGAAAAACCAUAGGAUGAGGUGUGGGUAGGGGUGAAAUGCCAAUCGAACCCGGAGAUAGCUGGUUCUCCCCGAAAUAGCUUUAGGGCUAGCCUCGGAUCAAGAGUCAUGGAGGUAGAGCACUGAUUGGGCUAGGGGCCCCCACAGGGUUACCGAACUCAGUUAAACUCCGAAUGCCAUCGACUCAUAUCCGGGAGUCAGACUGCGAGUGCUAAGAUCCGUAGUCAAGAGGGAAACAGCCCAGACCACCAGCUAAGGUCCCCAAGUAAUCGUUAAGUGGCAAAGGAUGUGGAGUUGCCUAGACAACCAGGAUGUUGGCUUAGAAGCAGCCACCAUUCAAAGAGUGCGUAAUAGCUCACUGGUCAAGUGACUCUGCGCCGAAAAUGUAACGGGGCUAAACGAUUCACCGAAGCUGUGGAUG